GCAUGUGAAGGCAAUCGGGCUGUGAUAUCUGUCACCCCAUUGGUGUGAUUUAGCUGGCUAGACGUGUAUCCCUUUUAUUCUACAUGGUCCCAUGUGCAUCCCUUCCUCAGCUUCCUGCUUGUUCAAAGAGGACAGUCUUCCCAACAGAGGAGGACUGUUUGGACAAAGGUGUCCU
RNAcentral lists this small nuclear RNA (175 nucleotides) under Neotoma lepida (desert woodrat). RNAcentral describes it as "7SK RNA". It matches the Rfam family "7SK RNA", at positions 1 to 196 of the family's 331-position model. Rfam says of the family: 7SK was discovered as an abundant small nuclear RNA in the mid-70s but a possible function has only recently been suggested. Two independent studies have found that 7SK RNA binds the CDK9/cyclin T complex (known as elongation factor P-TEFb). P-TEFb activates transcription by phosphorylating the C-terminal domain of RNA polymerase II. The record is from Rfam by way of RNAcentral. Lineage: Eukaryota; Metazoa; Chordata; Mammalia; Rodentia; Cricetidae.